GAUCCUAGCUCAGGAUGAACGCUGGCUACAGGCUUAACACAUGCAAGUCGAGGGGCAGCAUGAACUUAGCUUGCUAAGUUUGAUGGCGACCGGCGCACGGGUGAGUAACACGUAUCCAACCUGCCGAUGACUCGGGGAUAGCCUUUCGAAAGAAAGAUUAAUACCCGAUGGCAUAGUUCUUCCGCAUGGUAGAACUAUUAAAGAACUUCGGUCAUCGAUGGGGAUGCGUUCCAUUAGG
Molecule: ribosomal RNA, 238 nt
Filed under: uncultured bacterium
Lineage: Bacteria
Description: partial 16S ribosomal RNA
Rfam family: Bacterial small subunit ribosomal RNA
Source: RNAcentral